AAUAAGGUGACAGAAUUUAUGUGAUAGGCUUAAGACUUAUUUAUGUGGGCUUGAAUCACCCUUAUUU
Molecule: transfer RNA, 67 nt
Filed under: Lithophaga curta
Lineage: Eukaryota; Metazoa; Mollusca; Bivalvia; Mytilida; Mytilidae
Description: tRNA-Leu
Source: RNAcentral